AGUUUCCUACGGGAGGCAGCAGUGGGGGAUAUUGCACAAUGGGGGGAACCCUGAUGCAGCGACGCCGCGUGGAUGAAGGAGCGUUUCGGCGCGUAAAGCCCUAUCGGCAGGGGAGAAGAUGACGGUACCUGACCAAGAAGCCCCGGCUAACUACGUGCCAGCAGCCGCGGUAAUACGUAGGGGCAAGCGUUAUCCGGAUUUACUGGGUGUAAAGGGGGCGCAGACGGUAAUGCAAGCCAGGAGUGAAAG
This 249-nucleotide ribosomal RNA is filed under the name uncultured bacterium. Its description in RNAcentral is "partial 16S ribosomal RNA". It matches the Rfam family "Bacterial small subunit ribosomal RNA", at positions 333 to 600 of the family's 1533-position model. The record is from RNAcentral.